RNAcentral lists this long non-coding RNA (1499 nucleotides) under Cricetulus griseus (Chinese hamster). RNAcentral's name for it is "lncRNA (ENSCGRG00015035156.1)". The record is from RNAcentral. Lineage: Eukaryota; Metazoa; Chordata; Mammalia; Rodentia; Cricetidae.
UCCUCCUGCCUCUGCCUCCCAAGUGCUGGGAUUAAAGGCUUGUUGGGAUUAAAGGUGUGGGCCACCACCCGGCAAAAUAAUGGAACAUUGGAAACUGUAAAUGCAUCCAUGUAUUUUAUCUUUGCCUGGAGAAUGUGAGCCGCCUGGGCCACUUGGACCUAAGAUUGAGGAUUUUCCCCUCUCAGCGAGUCUGCUUAUUUUAGGCCCAGGCCUGACGGUAAUCAGACCUUACACACAGCUCCGGUCAGCUCUGCCUUCAACCUACAAAGCGCUGCUUCUUCUAGCAGCUGCCAACCCUUCCCCCUUUCCCUCCCAUCCCAUAAUGACGCUUUUGUUUAGUGAGACGGGUCCAGGUUUCUUUCUUUCUUUCUUCUUUUUUUUUUUUGUUUUGUUUUGUUUUUUGUUUUUCGAGACAGGGUUUCUCUGUGUAGCUUUGGAGGCUGUCUUGGCACUCUCUCUGUAGACCAGGCUGGCCUCGAACUCACAGAGAUCCGCCUGUCUCUGCCUCCCGAGUGCUGCAAUUAAAGGUGUGCGACACCAACGCCAGGCUGGGUCCAGGUUUCUUUGGUGAACCAUCUCUAUUUUAUUUUAUUUUAUUAGUUCAAAUUAGGAACAAGCUUGCUUCAGAUGUCAAUCCCCUCCCCCCAACAUCCCACCUGCCCCUAGCCAUCCCCCCUCCACUCCCUAGGCAGGGUAAGGCCCUCAAAAGGGGCUCCCCAAAGUCUACCACAUCAUCCUGGGCCAGGCCUAGGCCCUUCGCCAUGUGUCCAGGUCAAGAGAGCAUCCCUUCACAAGGGAUGGGCUCUCAAAAUCCCUUCUUUUUUUUUUUUUUAAGACCUUACAUAUUUAAUACAGUGUGUUACCCCUGUACAAUUGGAAAAAAAUUAAGGGUGAACCAUCUCUCUCAUUGCAGUUAAGUCCAAACGUUUUGUUCUCUACAAGUCAAGCUUACAGUUGUGUUCUCCACGGAAGGUUCCACCGCUUGCACCGUAGGUCCUGCUCCAUGACAACGGCAACAAAAUAGAAUAAAAGUUCUAGUGAAAUAGGUUUUCGUUUGUGCAGCCACCCUUGCUCAGAAGGCCACGGAUGUGUCCAUCUGCAGCCGUCUCUGCAGCCGUCUCCCGGUUCUCCAGUGCUCCGCUGCACCCUUCCCCGCCAUCUCUAUUUCCCCCACACCCUCCUCCGGAGGAAACCUUUGCUCCAUUUCUCAUUUUUUCCUGUCUAACCGUGCCACGGCCGCAGUUGCAUCCAUCCCCGGGUGUCAGCAACCCGCCAUUCAGGGAUUCACCGUGAGCAGACGGACGCCCGACGGGAGCCAUGGCAACCGUGCACUUCGCCGCCUCCUCGCCCUUUAAAUAAAUAAACACUCACGGAGAGGCACCGGCUCGGCUUUCCACGCCAGCGAGCGCCGGCCGGAGGGCACGCGACCUCCCCGUGGGCUGCAAAGACUGGCCGUUGCCCCGGGCAACCGCGCGGUUUCCCACGAGACACGCCGCCCC